This 254-nucleotide ribosomal RNA is filed under the name uncultured bacterium. RNAcentral describes it as "partial 16S ribosomal RNA". It matches the Rfam family "Bacterial small subunit ribosomal RNA", at positions 524 to 777 of the family's 1533-position model. The record is from RNAcentral.
UACGUAGGGUGCAAGCGUUGUCCGGAAUUAUUGGGCGUAAAGAGCUCGUAGGCGGUUCGUCGCGUCGGCUGUGAAAUCCCGAGGCUCAACCUCGGGUCUGCAGUCGAUACGGGCGGACUGGAGUUCGGCAGGGGAGACUGGAAUUCCUGGUGUAGCGGUGAAAUGCGCAGAUAUCAGGAGGAACACCGGUGGCGAAGGCGGGUCUCUGGGCCGAUACUGACGCUGAGGAGCGAAAGCGUGGGGAGCGAACAGGA